UAGGGAAUCUUCCACAAUGGACGCAAGUCUGAUGGAGCAACGCCGCGUGAGUGAAGAAGGUUUUCGGACCGUAAAGCUCUGUUGUUGGUGAAGAAGGAUAGAGGUAGUAACUGGCCUUUAUUUGGCGGUAAUCAACCAGAAAGUCACGGCUAACUACGUGCCAGCAGCCGCGGUAAUCGUAGGUGGCAAGCGUUGUCCGGAUUUAUUGGGCGUAAAGCGAGCGCAGGCGGAAGAAUAAGUCUGAUGUGAAAGCCCUCGGCUUAACCGAGGAAUUGCAUCGGAAACUG
Molecule: ribosomal RNA, 287 nt
Filed under: uncultured bacterium
Lineage: Bacteria
Description: partial 16S ribosomal RNA
Rfam family: Bacterial small subunit ribosomal RNA
Source: RNAcentral